AGAGUUUGAUCAUGGCUCAGAUUGAACGCUGGCGGCAGGCCUAACACAUGCAAGUCGAGCGGUAGCACAGAGAGCUUGCUCUCGGGUGACGAGCGGCGGACGGGUGAGUAAUGUCUGGGAAACUGCCUGAUGGAGGGGGAUAACUACUGGAAACGGUAGCUAAUACCGCAUAACGUCGCAAGACCAAAGUGGGGGACCUUCGGGCCUCAUGCCAUCAGAUGUGCCCAGAUGGGAUUAGCUAGUAGGUGGGGUAACGGCUCACCUAGGCGACGAUCCCUAGCUGGUCUGAGAGGAUGACCAGCCACACUGGAACUGAGACACGGUCCAGACUCCUACGGGAGGCAGCAGUGGGGAAUAUUGCACAAUGGGCGCAAGCCUGAUGCAGCCAUGCCGCGUGUGUGAAGAAGGCCUUCGGGUUGUAAAGCACUUUCAGCGGGGAGGAAGGCGGUGAGGUUAAUAACCUCACCGAUUGACGUUACCCGCAGAAGAAGCACCGGCUAACUCCGUGCCAGCAGCCGCGGUAAUACGGAGGGUGCAAGCGUUAAUCGGAAUUACUGGGCGUAAAGCGCACGCAGGCGGUCUGUCAAGUCGGAUGUGAAAUCCCCGGGCUCAACCUGGGAACUGCAUUCGAAACUGGCAGGCUAGAGUCUUGUAGAGGGGGGUAGAAUUCCAGGUGUAGCGGUGAAAUGCGUAGAGAUCUGGAGGAAUACCGGUGGCGAAGGCGGCCCCCUGGACAAAGACUGACGCUCAGGUGCGAAAGCGUGGGGAGCAAACAGGAUUAGAUACCCUGGUAGUCCACGCCGUAAACGAUGUCGAUUUGGAGGUUGUGCCCUUGAGGCGUGGCUUCCGGAGCUAACGCGUUAAAUCGACCGCCUGGGGAGUACGGCCGCAAGGUUAAAACUCAAAUGAAUUGACGGGGGCCCGCACAAGCGGUGGAGCAUGUGGUUUAAUUCGAUGCAACGCGAAGAACCUUACCUGGUCUUGACAUCCACAGAACUUUCCAGAGAUGGAUUGGUGCCUUCGGGAACUGUGAGACAGGUGCUGCAUGGCUGUCGUCAGCUCGUGUUGUGAAAUGUUGGGUUAAGUCCCGCAACGAGCGCAACCCUUAUCCUUUGUUGCCAGCGGU
Molecule: ribosomal RNA, 1126 nt
Filed under: Klebsiella pneumoniae
Lineage: Bacteria; Pseudomonadati; Pseudomonadota; Gammaproteobacteria; Enterobacterales; Enterobacteriaceae
Description: bacterial SSU rRNA
Rfam family: Bacterial small subunit ribosomal RNA
Source: RNAcentral